UCGAUUGACAACAGUAAGAAUGAAAGUGUUACCUUCAGAAGGAGGCAGGCCGGUGAUGAAAUCUAAAACGAUGUGGGACCAUUGGUGUGUCGGGGUUGGUAAGGGACGCAGCAGACCAGCUGGAGGCAGAUGUGAAGCCUUCCCUCGGCUGAAGACAGAGCAGGCUUGGAUGAAUUCCCGGGUGUCAUUGACCAGGCUGGGCCACCAGAAAUGAAUUGGAUAGUGCGGGUGAUGCCAGGAUUUCACGUGAACUUGGUGUUAUGGGCCCACUGAAGGAUGUCGGAGCAUGCGUAAUCAGGUAACAGGAGCAGGUGGUGGCGGUUCCCGCGGUAAAGGAUCAGCUCAAAAGGGUCCAGGCCGUGUGGAAAGACGUCCGGGCGGCCUUAUCCCAGUCCACAGAGAAAAACAAACAGCUCGCGGAGCUUCAUCGCUCUCCUACGCCCGAGUACAAGUAAUCAGUACCACCUGUCAUCAAUGAGCAUUCUUCACCACCUUCAUAAAAGCCUGCCAGAUCCAAGACUCCACUGCCAGAGUAUUAACGUUCUCCUGUGUGCUCCUCCGCGUCCCUCGCUGAAAUGACUUCUUCCACCACGCUGCCAAGCCAGCCGCCAUUUCUCCCCACCGCCUGCCACACGUUCCCUGCCUCGACGACGCGCCAGCACAUCUCAAGGACUAUCUCCAGUCCCUUUUUCAAUAAAACUUUAAUCAUAACCUCUCAGCCUUCGCCUGCUUCUGGUUC
Molecule: long non-coding RNA, 739 nt
Organism: Phyllopteryx taeniolatus (common seadragon)
Lineage: Eukaryota; Metazoa; Chordata; Actinopteri; Syngnathiformes; Syngnathidae
Exons: 4
Source: RefSeq, a predicted model, not a curated record